GAAAGUUCCACCGUAGAAGGUAAUAGUCCUGUAAGUGAAACGAGAAGACCACGAGUUAUGAUCCAGAGUACCACGAGACACGUGAAACCUUGUGGGAAGCAGGGAGGACCACCUCCCAAGGCUAAAUACUACCUGAUGACCGAUAGUGAAGCAGUACCGUGAGGGAAAGGUGAAAAGAACCCCGGGAGGGGAGUGAAAUAGAACCUGAAACCGUGUGCCUACAACCGCUCAGAGCCCCUUAUGAGGGUGAUGAGGUGCUUUUUGUAGAACGAGCCAACGAGUUACGGUAUGUAGCAAGGUUAAGUACUUAAGGUACGGAGCCGAAGGGAAACCGAGUCUGAAUAGGGCGACUAGUUGCAUGCCGUAGACCCGAAACCGGGUGACCUAUCCAUGGCCAGGUUGAAGCGAGGGUAAAACCUCGUGGAGGACCGAACCACGUUGCUGUUGAAAAAGCAUGGGAUGAGCUGUGGAUAGCGGAGAAAUUCCAAUCGAACCCGGAGAUAGCUGGUUCUCUCCGAAAUAGCUUUAGGGCUAGCGUCGAGUAUGAGUAGUGGAGGUAGAGCACUGAAUGGGCUAGGGGGCAUAGCGCUUACCGAACCUUAUCAAACUCCGAAUGCCACAUACUUUGAGCUCGGCAGUCAGACUACGAAUGAUAAGAUCCGUGGUCAAAAGGGAAACAGCCCAGAUCGUCAGCUAAGGUCCCAAAGUGUAAGUUAAGUGGGAAAGGAUGUGAGAUUUCUAAGACAACUAGGAUGUUGGCUUAGAAGCAGCCAUUCAUUAAAAGAGUGCGUAAUAGCUCACUAGUCGAGAGAUCUUGCGCCGAAAAUGUAACGGGGCUAAACUUACC
This 847-nucleotide ribosomal RNA is filed under the name Clostridium perfringens. RNAcentral describes it as "partial 23S ribosomal RNA". It matches the Rfam family "Bacterial large subunit ribosomal RNA", at positions 345 to 1192 of the family's 2925-position model. Lineage: Bacteria; Bacillati; Bacillota; Clostridia; Eubacteriales; Clostridiaceae. The record is from RNAcentral.